UACGAAGGGGGCUAGCGUUGCUCGGAAUCACUGGGCGUAAAGCGCACGUAGGCGGAUUUCUAAGUCAGGGGUGAAAUCCUGGAGCUCAACUCCAGAACUGCCUUUGAUACUGGGAAUCUUCGAGUCCGGGAGAGGUGAGUGGAACUGCGAGUGUAGAGGUGAAAUUCGUAGAUAUUCGCAAGAACACCAGUGGCGAAGGCGGCUCACUGGCCCGGUACUGACUCUGAGGUGCGAAAGCGUGGGGAGCAAACAGG
Molecule: ribosomal RNA, 254 nt
Filed under: uncultured bacterium
Lineage: Bacteria
Description: partial 16S ribosomal RNA
Rfam family: Bacterial small subunit ribosomal RNA
Source: RNAcentral